Molecule: long non-coding RNA, 494 nt
Organism: Manacus vitellinus (golden-collared manakin)
Lineage: Eukaryota; Metazoa; Chordata; Aves; Passeriformes; Pipridae
Exons: 3
Source: RefSeq, a predicted model, not a curated record
GAUUAACCUGGCUGCGGCAUUCCCAUACAGCGGGUGUCCCUGCGUGCCGCCUGCCCGGGACGGGCAGCCGGGGAGGGGAGGCAGCCGCAGCCCCGCCGCUCGGAGGAGCCGAGCCCGGACGUCUCGUCGCCUGCCCGGCGGCCGAAAGGAUGACAGAAAGGACCGUUUCGUGGGGACGGUGCGUAGGGCUCCGGCCUGUGUCUCUCCAGGGAAGAGACUUUCCAGAGAAAUAAAUCAAGAAAAAAUAACUGGUUUAAUUUCCCUCCACCUAGCAUCGUUUUUUCCCGGCUGUGCAUAGGAACCUUGGAGCAGCAUGAAAAGCUAUGUGGGACAGAGGCUCCUCCGGGUGCUGGUGCUCCCACUGACAGUGUGCUGUACUUUCCUCUGGCUGCUGUCAAGGUGUUGUAGAGAUUCCCAGUGUGUGGAAGUGCAAGGGGGACUUGUGAGCCUACUCACCCUGCAGGGAAACAGAGAACGAAAAUUUGUUGUAGUAU